This 30-nucleotide transfer RNA is filed under the name Impatiens scabriuscula. RNAcentral describes it as "partial tRNA-Leu". The record is from RNAcentral. Lineage: Eukaryota; Viridiplantae; Streptophyta; Magnoliopsida; Ericales; Balsaminaceae.
AAUCCGUCGACUUUAUAAAUCGUGAGGGUU